RNAcentral lists this ribosomal RNA (823 nucleotides) under uncultured organism. RNAcentral's name for it is "bacterial SSU rRNA". It matches the Rfam family "Bacterial small subunit ribosomal RNA", at positions 8 to 881 of the family's 1533-position model. The record is from RNAcentral.
AGAGUUGACCUGGCUCAGAACGAACGCUGGCGGCAGGCCUAACACAUGCAAGUCGAGCGAGGACUUCGGUCCUAGCGGCGGACGGGUGAGUAACGCGUGGGAACGUGCCCUUCACUACGGAAUAGUCCCGGGAAACUGGGUUUAAUACCGUAUACGCCCUUCGGGGGAAAGAAUUUCGGUGAAGGAUCGGCCCGCGUCUGAUUAGGUAGUUGGUGGGGUAACGGCCUACCAAGCCUACGAUCAGUGGCUGGUUUGAGAGGAUGAUCAGCCACACUGGGACUGAGACACGGCCCAGACUCCUACGGGAGGCAGCAGUGGGGAAUCUUAGACAAUGGGGGCAACCCUGAUCUAGCCAUGCCGCGUGAGUGACGAAGGCCCUAGGGUCGUAAAGCUCUUUCACCAGGGAAGAUAAUGACGGUACCUGGAGAAGAAACCCCGGCUAACUCCGUGCCAGCAGCCGCGGUAAUACGGAGGGGGUUAGCGUUGUUCGGAAUUACUGGGCGUAAAGCGCGCGUAGGCGGACUGUUAAGUCAGGGGUGAAAUCCCGGGGCUCAACCCCGGAACUGCCCUUGAUACUGGCAGUCUCGAGUUCGAGAGAGGUGAGUGGAACUCCGAGUGUAGAGGUGAAAUUCGUAGAUAUUCGGAAGAACACCAGUGGCGAAGGCGGCUCACUGGCUCGAUACUGACGCCGAGGUGCGAAAGUGUGGGGAGCAAACAGGAUUAGAUACCCUGGUAGUCCACACCGUAAACGAUGAAUGCCAGACGUCGGGCAGCAUGCUGUUCGGUGUCACACCUAACGGAUUAAGCAUUCCGCCUGGGGAGU